Molecule: ribosomal RNA, 468 nt
Filed under: uncultured bacterium
Lineage: Bacteria
Description: partial 16S ribosomal RNA
Rfam family: Bacterial small subunit ribosomal RNA
Source: RNAcentral
GACGAACGCUGGCGGCGUGCUUAACACAUGCAAGUCGAACGGAAAGGCCCUGCUUUUGUGGGGUGCUCGAGUGGCGAACGGGUGAGUAACACGUGAGUAACCUGCCCUUGACUUUGGGAUAACUUCAGGAAACUGGGGCUAAUACCGGAUAGGAGCUCCUGCUGCAUGGUGGGGGUUGGAAAGUUUCGGCGGUUGGGGAUGGACUCGCGGCUUAUCAGCUUGUUGGUGGGGUAGUGGCUUACCAAGGCUUUGACGGGUACCCGGCCUGAGAGGGUGACCGGCCACAUUGGGACUGAGAUACGGCCCAGACUCCUACGGGAGGCAGCAGUGGGGAAUAUUGCACAAUGGGCGGAAGCCUGAUGCAGCAACGCCGCGUGCGGGAUGACGGCCUUCGGGUUGUAAACCGCUUUCGCCUGUGACGAAGCGUGAGUGACGGUAAUGGGUAAAGAAGCACCGGCUAACUACGUG